GUAGGUGGCAAGCGUUAUCCGGAAUUAUUGGGCGUAAAGCGCGCGCAGGCGGUUUCUUAAGUCUGAUGUGAAAGCCCACGGGCUCAACCGUGGAGGGUCAUUGGAAACUGGGGAACUUGAGUGCAGAAGAGAAAAGCGGAAUUCCACGUGUAGCGGUGAAAUGCGUAGAGAUGUGGAGGAACACCAGUGGCGAAGGCGGCUUUUUGGUCUGUAACUGACGCUGAGGCGCGAAAGCGUGGGGAGCAAACAGGAUUAGAUACCCUGGUAGUCCACGCCGUAAACGAUGAGUGCUAAGUGUUAGAGGGUUUCCGCCCUUUAGUGCUGCAGCUAACGCAUUAAGCACUCCGCCUGGGGAGUACGGUCGCAAGACUG
RNAcentral lists this ribosomal RNA (372 nucleotides) under uncultured organism. Its description in RNAcentral is "partial 16S ribosomal RNA". It matches the Rfam family "Bacterial small subunit ribosomal RNA", at positions 527 to 896 of the family's 1533-position model. The record is from RNAcentral.